AAUCAUUAGCCUCUUAAUUAGAGGCUAGAAUGAAUGGUUUAACAUUUCCUUAACUUUUUUAAAAAUCUAUAUAAAACUUAUAUUAAAUAUAAAAAUAUAUUUAUUUACAAAUUAGACGACAAGACCCUUUCAAACUUUACUAAAGUUUAGCUGGGGUAGCUAAAUAAUUAUAAUCUUAUUAAUAAGAAUAAAACAGACCCAAUUAAAAUUGAUUAAAUGAACAAGUUACUGAAGGGAUAACAGCAUAAUAAAUUUAUACAGCUCUUAUUAAAAAACAAGUUUAUGACCUCGAUGUUGAAUUAUUUCACUUUUAUACGCAAGAGUAUAAAAAGUAGGUCUGUUCGACCUUUAAAUUUU
RNAcentral lists this ribosomal RNA (357 nucleotides) under Tetragnatha sp. RNAcentral describes it as "partial large subunit ribosomal RNA". The record is from RNAcentral. Lineage: Eukaryota; Metazoa; Arthropoda; Arachnida; Araneae; Tetragnathidae.